GGCUCGGCAGACAGAGGAAGAGAACGGCCUGGGGUUGGCUGAGUGGGUUUUCAGGUUGCUAACUGCUCUUCCCUAGAAUGCCAGGUGAUG
Molecule: microRNA precursor, 90 nt
Filed under: Dasypus novemcinctus (nine-banded armadillo)
Lineage: Eukaryota; Metazoa; Chordata; Mammalia; Cingulata; Dasypodidae
Description: miRNA (ENSDNOG00000026738.2)
Source: RNAcentral